RNAcentral lists this transfer RNA (74 nucleotides) under Alphaproteobacteria bacterium. RNAcentral's name for it is "tRNA-Gly". It matches the Rfam family "tRNA". Rfam says of the family: Transfer RNA (tRNA) molecules are approximately 80 nucleotides in length. Their secondary structure includes four short double-helical elements and three loops (D, anti-codon, and T loops). The record is from RNAcentral. Lineage: Bacteria; Pseudomonadati; Pseudomonadota; Alphaproteobacteria.
GCGGGCGUAGUUCAAUGGUAGAACGACAGCCUUCCAAGCUGUAUAUGCCGGUUCGAUCCCGGUCGCCCGCUCCA